RNAcentral lists this ribosomal RNA (253 nucleotides) under uncultured bacterium. Its description in RNAcentral is "partial 16S ribosomal RNA". It matches the Rfam family "Bacterial small subunit ribosomal RNA", at positions 524 to 776 of the family's 1533-position model. The record is from RNAcentral.
UACGUAGGGCGCGAGCGUUGUCCGGAAUUAUUGGGCGUAGAGAGCUCGUAGGCGGCCUGUCGCGUCCGCUGUGAAAUCCCGGGGCUUAACCCCGGGCCUGCAGUGGAUACGGGCAGACUAGAGGUAGGUAGGGGAGAAUGGAAUUCCCGGUGUAGCGGUGAAAUGCGCAGAUAUCGGGAGGAACACCGGUGGCGAAGGCGGUUCUCUGGGCCUUACCUGACGCUGAGGAGCGAAAGCGUGGGGAGCGAACAGG